This 253-nucleotide ribosomal RNA is filed under the name uncultured bacterium. Its description in RNAcentral is "partial 16S ribosomal RNA". It matches the Rfam family "Bacterial small subunit ribosomal RNA", at positions 524 to 776 of the family's 1533-position model. The record is from RNAcentral.
UACGAGUACCCCAAGCGUUAUCCGGAAUCACUGGGCGUAAAGCGUGCGUAGGUGGAUGCUUAAGUGAGUUGUUAAAUCGUGGGGCUCAACCCUGUCGAUGCAAUUCAUACUGGGCGUCUAGAGGACGGCAGAGGCAAGUGGAAUUGGUAGUGUAGCAGUGAAAUGCGUAGAUAUUACCAGGAACACCAAUGGCGAAGGCAGCUUGCUGGGCCACUCCUGACACUGAGGUACGAAAGCGUGGGGAGCGAACAGG